This 1407-nucleotide ribosomal RNA is filed under the name Brenneria salicis. Its description in RNAcentral is "bacterial SSU rRNA". It matches the Rfam family "Bacterial small subunit ribosomal RNA". Lineage: Bacteria; Pseudomonadati; Pseudomonadota; Gammaproteobacteria; Enterobacterales; Pectobacteriaceae. The record is from RNAcentral.
UGCAGUCGGGCGGUAACACAGAGGAGCUUGCUCCUUGGGUGACGAGCGGCGGACGGGUGAGUAAAGUCUGGGGAUCUGCCUGAUGGAGGGGGAUAACUACUGGAAACGGUAGCUAAUACCGCAUGACGUCUUCGGACCAAAGUGGGGGACCUUCGGGCCUCACGCCAUGAGAUGAACCCAGAUGGGAUUAGCUGGUAGGUGAGGUAACGGCUCACCUAGGCGACGAUCCCUAGCUGGUCUGAGAGGAUGACCAGCCACACUGGAACUGAGACACGGUCCAGACUCCUACGGGAGGCAGCAGUGGGGAAUAUUGCACAAUGGGGGAAACCCUGAUGCAGCCAUGCCGCGUGUGUGAAGAAGGCCUUCGGGUUGUAAAGCACUUUCAGCGGGGAGGAAGGCAAUAAACUUAAUAAGUUUGUUGAUUGACGUUACCCGCAGAAGAAGCACCGGCUAACUCCGUGCCAGCAGCCGCGGUAAUACGGAGGGUGCAAGCGUUAAUCGGAAUGACUGGGCGUAAAGCGCACGCAGGCGGUCUGUUAAGUUGGAUGUGAAAUCCCCGGGCUCAACCCGGGAACAGCAUUCAAAACUGACAGGCUAGAGUCUCGUAGAGGGGGGUAGAAUUCCAGGUGUAGCGGUGAAAUGCGUAGAGAUCUGGAGGAAUACCGGUGGCGAAGGCGGCCCCCUGGACGAAGACUGACGCUCAGGUGCGAAAGCGUGGGGAGCAAACAGGAUUAGAUACCCUGGUAGUCCACGCCGUAAACGAUGUCGACUUGGAGGCUGUGGUCUUGAACCGUGGCUUCCGGAGCUAACGCGUUAAGUCGACCGCCUGGGGAGUACGGCCGCAAGGUUAAAACUCAAAUGAAUUGACGGGGGCCCGCACAAGCGGUGGAGCAUGUGGUUUAAUUCGAUGCAACGCGAAGAACCUUACCUACUCUUGACAUCCAGAGAAGACUGUAGAGAUACGGUUGUGCCUUCGGGAGCUCUGAGACAGGUGCUGCAUGGCUGUCGUCAGCUCGUGUUGUGAAAUGUUGGGUUAAGUCCCGCAACGAGCGCAACCCUUAUCCUUUGUUGCCAGCGAUACGGUCGGGAACUCAAAGGAGACUGCCGGUGAUAAACCGGAGGAAGGUGGGGAUGACGUCAAGUCAUCAUGGCCCUUACGAGUAGGGCUACACACGUGCUACAAUGGCGCAUACAAAGAGAAGCGAGCCUGCGAGGGUGAGCGGACCUCAUAAAGUGCGUCGUAGUCCGGAUUGGAGUCUGCAACUCGACUCCAUGAAGUCGGAAUCGCUAGUAAUCGUAGAUCAGAAUGCUACGGUGAAUACGUUCCCGGGCCUUGUACACACCGCCCGUCACACCAUGGGAGUGGGUUGCAAAAGAAGUAGGUAGCUUAACCUUAGGAGGGCGCUA